RNAcentral lists this ribosomal RNA (362 nucleotides) under uncultured bacterium. RNAcentral describes it as "bacterial SSU rRNA". It matches the Rfam family "Bacterial small subunit ribosomal RNA", at positions 8 to 352 of the family's 1533-position model. The record is from RNAcentral.
AGAGUUUGAUCCUGGCUCAGAACGAACGCUGGCGGCGUGCCUAACACAUGCAAGUCGAGCGGGAAAGCUCCCUUCGGGGAACGAGUACAGCGGCGAACGGGUGAGUAACACGUAGGUAACCUACCCCGGGGACUGGGAUAACCUGUCGAAAGACGGGCUAAUACCGGAUGAGACCACGAGGGCCUCGGCCCUCGAGGUAAAAGAUGGCCUCUGCUUGCAAGCUAUUACCCCAGGAUGGGCCUGCGCGCCAUUAGCUAGUUGGUGAGGUAAGAGCUCACCAAGGCCGAGAUGGCUAGCUGGUCUGAGAGGAUGAUCAGCCACACUGGGACUGAGACACGGCCCAGACUCCUACGGGAGGCAGC